RNAcentral lists this ribosomal RNA (503 nucleotides) under uncultured bacterium. RNAcentral's name for it is "partial 16S ribosomal RNA". It matches the Rfam family "Bacterial small subunit ribosomal RNA", at positions 30 to 523 of the family's 1533-position model. The record is from RNAcentral.
AUUGAACGCUGGCGGCAGGCUUAACACAUGCAAGUCGAGCGGGGUGAUGGUGCUUGCACUAUCACUUAGCGGCGGACGGGUGAGUAAUGCCUAGGAAUCUGCCUAUUAGUGGGGGACAACAUCUCGAAAGGGAUGCUAAUACCGCAUACGUCCUACGGGAGAAAGCAGGGGAUCACUUGUGACCUUGCGCUAAUAGAUGAGCCUAAGUCGGAUUAGCUAGUUGGUGGGGUAAAGGCCUACCAAGGCGACGAUCUGUAGCGGGUCUGAGAGGAGGAUCCGCCACACUGGGACUGAGACACGGCCCAGACUCCUACGGGAGGCAGCAGUGGGGAAUAUUGGACAAUGGGGGGAACCCUGAUCCAGCCAUGCCGCGUGUGUGAAGAAGGCCUUAUGGUUGUAAAGCACUUUAAGCGAGGAGGAGGCUUACCUAGUUAAUACCUGGGAUAAGUGGACGUUACUCGCAGAAUAAGCACCGGCUAACUCUGUGCCAGCCGCCGCCGUAA